RNAcentral lists this ribosomal RNA (253 nucleotides) under uncultured bacterium. RNAcentral describes it as "partial 16S ribosomal RNA". It matches the Rfam family "Bacterial small subunit ribosomal RNA", at positions 102 to 353 of the family's 1533-position model. The record is from RNAcentral.
ACGGGUGAGUAACGCGUGGGUAACCUGCCUUGUACUGGGGGACAACAGUUGGAAACGACUGCUAAUACCGCAUAAGCGCACAGCUUCGCAUGAAGCAGUGUGAAAAACUCCGGUGGUACAAGAUGGACCCGCGUCUGAUUAGCUGGUUGGUGAGGUAACGGCCCACCAAGGCGACGAUCAGUAGCCGGCCUGAGAGGGUGAACGGCCACAUUGGGACUGAGACACGGCCCAGACUCCUACGGGAGGCAGCAUG